GAGGACCUUUGGCGGCGUGCUUAACACAAGCAAGUCGAACGAAGCACUUUUACAGAUUUCUUCGGAAUGAAGUUUUAGUGACUGAGUGGCGGACGGGUGAGUAACGCGUGGGUAACCUGCCUCACACAGGGGGAUAACAGUUGGAAACGGCUGCUAAUACCGCAUAAGCGCACAGUACCGCAUGGUACAGUGUGAAAAACUCCGGUGGUGUGAGAUGGACCCGCGUCUGAUUAGCUAGUUGGCAGGGCAACGGCCUACCAAGGCGACGAUCAGUAGCCGACCUGAGAGGGUGACCGGCCACAUUGGGACUGAGACACGGCCCAAACUCCUACGGGAGGCAGCAGUGGGGAAUAUUGCACAAUGGGGGGAAACCCUGAUGCAGCGACGCCGCGUGAGCGAAGAAGUAUUUCGGUAUGUAAAGCUCUAUCAGCAGGGAAGAAGAAAUGACGGUACCUGACUAAGAAGCACCGGCUAAAUACGUGCCAGCAGCCGCGGUAAUACGUAUGGUGCAAGCGUUAUCCGGAUUUACUGGGUGUAAAGGGAGCGCAGGCGGAAGGCUAAGUCUGAUGUGAAAGCCCGGGGCUCAACCCCGGUACUGCAUUGGAAACUGGUCAUCUAGAGUGUCGGAGGGGUAAGUGGAAUUCCUAGUGUAGCGGUGAAAUGCGUAGAUAUUAGGAGGAACACCAGUGGCGAAGGCGGCUUACUGGACGAUAACUGACGCUGAGGCUCGAAAGCGUGGGGAGCAAACAA
RNAcentral lists this ribosomal RNA (750 nucleotides) under uncultured bacterium. RNAcentral's name for it is "bacterial SSU rRNA". It matches the Rfam family "Bacterial small subunit ribosomal RNA", at positions 28 to 775 of the family's 1533-position model. The record is from RNAcentral.